UGACUAGCUGGAGUAUCACGUUUGUUUGUUUGUUUGUUCGUUUAAAAUAUUCGAUUUAAAAAUUCGAAGUUACGCCAGGCGGCGUUUAACGGAAUGUUGGUGUCUCAUGGGCUGCAGUGUUCCAAAAACUCUCGAAUGUAUCUCUUUCGAGGUUUUAUUUCGAAGGCGACCUGUAAUAAAACCGUGACUCGCCGCCGUCCGGCACCAGGCUAGGAGGAUUCUCCUGAAAUGCGACCGACAUUUCCGUUCAGGUUCAGCAGGGUCCCUGUAGGCCGAUGGCGGUGAAGAUAGACAGUGAAAACACAAUGUGAAACAAGUGCUGGUCGACGUUGCAUCAGGCCACAUUCCUGGGGAAAGAUUUCUGGCAGAAGGAGCUGAACGCUGUUGAAAUCUGUCUAUGCCACCUUGUCAGAAAGUUCCCGUCUUUAAAUAACAAUGAGAACGAAGGGAAAGAGAGUUGAUCCUUUAGUCCGUCCUGUCUGAGCGGAUGAGGGCAGGACCGCUGUUUCAUUUUUAAAGGAAUAUCCCGCCCCGAAAGAAAAGUGUCAUCAUCACGUCAUGACUUUCUCUGCAGCGUGAAACUCCAAUCAAGAUAUUCUGAGGAAGAAAAGUAUAAAGGAAGGACGUAAGGGCAAGUAAACGAUGGCUUAAUUUUCAUUCUUGGGUGAACUAGUCCUUUAAAACAAAUGCAUUGCCGAGCGAAUAGACUAAACAUCUAGGAAGCCAGUGUUUGUGGUUCACUGACAUUCUGAAUGUUUUGAAAUUCAACUCCCUAUAAAAUCCGCUGGAAUGUGAUGCGGACUCGGACGCAGGCUCGAUCUCUCUCUCGUUUGUGCCUCAGCCAGCAUGCACCUGUCCCGUCGAACAAGCGUGUCUGCUGACACAAACACUUCUGCGGAUAGACAAACAAACAGAGAUGAGUGAGAAAGAGAUGAGCAGAUUGUAGAGAGAAUAUAAACCGAGUCUUCAUCUCUCAUCGAAAUGCACGCAUUAUUAAUGUAUCAGGCCCGAGCGAUAUGAUUCAGUGGUGUCAUAUUUGCACCACACGAGUUUUACAAUCUUUACUUGCUAAAUAAUAACCGAUAAUAUAUUUUUUCUUUCGUUUAUCGUCCAAAUAAUACGACAAUGUAACACAACAGUAUUGUAAGAAUCACUAAUGCCAAAGAAACCAUCACUCAAUCAAUCAAUCAAUCAAUUAAUGAAAAAAGGUCACGGGGUCAGGUAGUUACAUAUUUUUGUAUCAUUAUGAUUGUUAUAAGUGUCUUUUAUUACAGCAAAGCUAAAUAAAUGGCUUUAAUCGCGGUUAAUCGUGUAGACUUUCACCUAACGGGUUCGUGAAUCUUUUCACUGACUCGGUUAAACGAAGCGGUUCAGAGAGUCAUUUGUUCGCGAAUCUCACGUCGUGGAUCGCGCUGCUCUGCUGCCGCUCGCUCAGGACUGUCCGUCGAAAUAUCUUUCUCUAUUCGCGACGAUCGCUGCGAGCUUUAACUCGCGACAUUUCGGCCGCCGCUUCGAAGCUCUGACUCGUCUGAAGCAUCCGAGGCCUGCUCCUUCAACUAACGAAAAGCCGACGGGAGUCUACAAAUCGCUUUCCUCGUUUGGUGGAAUGAUAAAAAGCAGCUCAGACGCUCUUCUUUUGGCUCUCACGGAAGCAGAAGGGCCGGAUCGAGCCCGAACGAUGCCAAAGCUGUCGCUUUUCGGCGAAUUAUCGCGUCUGCAAAUGUGUUGAAAGGAUUUCUGGUUCCCCUCGUUGAGCAAUGCGAGCGCGCAUCAGCUGUCAGACAAAUCAUCCUCUCCUUUUGUGUGUCACUGUCACAGCAGCUCGGCUUGAUCUUUAAGACAGUUACUAUGAAUAUAACAGCUACCGCGGCGGAGGAGACCGGAAAAUCCGGUUUUCGCAAAAAGUCCCUCCCAAUGCAUCUUUCACAGGUAUGCGUGUGUGUGUGUGUGUGUGUGUGUGUGUGUGUGUGUGUGCGCGCGCUUUCUCUUCAUCGCAGAUGAAUUAGAACUCGACUCCUUUCAUGUUGUGGUGGUUUGUCAUUGUCUAGGGUGUGAGAAACAAAUCCAACUGUACAGAUGCAAUGACUCACUCAUUCAAGGCAUCAUGGGCUGGGAAGCGCGCAGAAGGACAAGGUGUGCUGGUUUUUUGGCAGAUGUUUUCGGAGCAGGGAGCAGAUCAGCUAUUGGGAAAUCACAUUUCUGGGUGGUGGUGACAAACACUGCGAGGAAAGACGUGUUAUUGUUUAUGAUUUCCAGUGAACGGUUGCAGACGCCGUAUUCCGCUAUUGCUUAUAUGGGAAAUUUUAGCUUGCCUUGUUUUAUGGUGAACGAAGGGGUCCUACGGAAGCUGUUCCAGAAAUGUGGACAACACAUCAUUAUCUUUACUACUAAAUAUUUUUAAUAAUAAUAAAAAAAUCAUAAAAAUUAAAGCCAGUUUAUAGAAAAGGCAAUUGCAAUCUGAUGAGCUUAUGCAUUUUUUUAAAAAAGUGGAAGAAGCAAGCAAUAUUUUUAAAUAUAUACAUACAAAAAUGGUUUAACCCAAAAUAUUACGGCCAAGCUUCACUAUUAUGAAAAAUGAUGAAUACGUUAUUGAAAUAACCGUUAAUAUGCAUUUUUUUUUGCA
Puntigrus tetrazona (Sumatra barb) is the source of this 2623-nucleotide long non-coding RNA. RefSeq lists it as uncharacterized. The record is from RefSeq and is a predicted model, not a curated record. NCBI's taxonomy places the organism in Eukaryota, Metazoa, Chordata, Actinopteri, Cypriniformes, Cyprinidae. The transcript has 3 exons.